Molecule: ribosomal RNA, 496 nt
Filed under: uncultured Sphingomonadales bacterium
Lineage: Bacteria; Pseudomonadati; Pseudomonadota; Alphaproteobacteria; Sphingomonadales
Description: bacterial SSU rRNA
Rfam family: Bacterial small subunit ribosomal RNA
Source: RNAcentral
CUUCGGGUCUAGUGGCGCACGGGUGCGUAACGCGUGGGAAUCUGCCCUUAGGUACGGAAUAACUCAGAGAAAUUUGUGCUAAUACCGUAUGAUGUCGAAAGACCAAAGAUUUAUCGCCUAAGGAUGAGCCCGCGUAAGAUUAGCUUGUUGGUGAGGUAAAAGCUCACCAAGGCGACGAUCUUUAGCUGGUCUGAGAGGAUGAUCAGCCACACUGGGACUGAGACACGGCCCAGACUCCUACGGGAGGCAGCAGUGGGGAAUAUUGGACAAUGGGCGAAAGCCUGAUCCAGCAAUGCCGCGUGAGUGAUGAAGGCCUUAGGGUUGUAAAGCUCUUUUACCAGGGAUGAUAAUGACAGUACCUGGAGAAUAAGCUCCGGCUAACUCCGUGCCAGCAGCCGCGGUAAUACGGAGGGAGCUAGCGUUGUUCGGAAUUACUGGGCGUAAAGAGUACGUAGGCGGUUAUUCAAGUCAGAGGUGAAAGCCUGGAGCUCAACUC